RNAcentral lists this long non-coding RNA (334 nucleotides) under Pan troglodytes (chimpanzee). Its description in RNAcentral is "long non-coding RNA NONPTRT014637". Lineage: Eukaryota; Metazoa; Chordata; Mammalia; Primates; Hominidae. The record is from RNAcentral.
CGGGGCCGCAGGAGACGGGUCGGGUCCGGACGGGCCGAGAUGCCCUAUAAACUGAAAAAGGAGAAGGAGCCCCCCAAGGUUGCCAAAUGCACAGCCAAGCCUAGCAGCUCGGGCAAGGAUGGUGGAGGCGAGAACACUGAGGAGGUAAUGAAUGUAGGCGUAGCCUUAGAUGUGGUGCAGGUGCCACCCGCAACUCCAUGAUGGCUUGUUGGGUAGGGGAUCCCAAGGGGUGAGGCAGAAGGGAAGGCUUCCAUAUCCUGGGAGGGACCUGGACAGCCCAUCCAGACUGCCCUCAGGCAGGAUUUACCUUUGGUUGGUAUAGACCAAAUACAUU